GUUCACUCACAGCCACUUCAGGAACUGUAGACUUGUGUACAGUGUCAUACAUGUCACAGGUUUAUCCCAAAGUGAGCUCGUCUGAGAAGCGUUCUCUCAAAGACGUGAAAGUGUAGUUGCGUAACUAUUUGGCCUUUGUCGUCGUUUAUCUGGAUGGCAGAAGACGAUAAGACGACACUCCACAUCUCUACUUUUGUGAUUUCAUGGUCCCUUCACCUUCGUUCAUCCCACUUAGUCGGUGCAGCACAUAAGACGUUGACCCUGGCAGAAUAUGGAGUGAAGUUGUGUUUGUUGAUGUAGUUAUUAUUCACCAGUAUGUUUGUGUGUGCGAUGCGUUAUUCCUCGCCUCAGUGAAAACAUCUACUGUAUAUGAUUGAAUUAUUAAUGAAGUUACGAUUGUUGUUCACACAUAGCAGCACACAAUACGUGCCCCGCUCAAUAAGUCUUAUGUUUCCUUAUUUAUACCACCGCUCUGUUGAGGCUGUCGCUUCCAGAACGCUCCGAUAUCCCUCUGAAUGUGGAGGAACUAUUGAAUCCCUCUCUGCAACUUUUAGCAAGUAAAAGGUACAAUUUGUAUGAACAUGUUAAUAACGUGUAAUAAGUGUCAGCGGUCUGUCAAGCUGAGCAUUAUUUCUCAUCUUAACGGCAGCAAAAGGGCAACCAUGUGGUCUGUGAUGAGAAGUUUCCAUGUUUUAAAUGUUGUGUGUCAGUUGAAACCACUGGCUGACUAAGGAGGUGGAAUUAGGAUAAGUUGGCGAGAGCACGCAUAAACCAGAGUUCGGUCCUUUCACCCCAAAUCCACCUCCCACGUUGAGACGAGCUGCAUCUUACAUCUUACAUGCAUCUAUCAGGGAACCGCUCCGCUAAGACAGGAACCCACAUCCCUGCAUGCAGGCAAGGUCUGUCCGUCUGUCCGUGUCAUUUGGAUCAGACACUUGAGUCUCUAGCGUUCAUUUGCAGGAACACGCGUGUCCCUCCGUCUGCUCGGCUGUGUGUGUGUGUCAGAAUGACUGCUUUUUAACAGGAGCAGCUUUGGGGUUUAUGGUUCCAUAGUCACACACACUCUUUAUCUCCAAUCCAGAGGCGGGUGAGUGAAUAUCACCUCCACUCAGCCAUGUGGUGUGCUGUGGCUGAGGGAGAGAAAGCAGCGUCCGGACCGCCUGAACAGAAGGAAAUGGUUUGGUACAGGUGUGGUCAUCCUGAUCCUCGGCAUAGUUGGAGCUGAGGUUUGAGCCCAACAUCCCAACAUCUCCAUUUAGUUCCGGCGCUGUAGUUCAAGGCUCGCAGUGAACGUCUCCGUGAGCUGUGACCUUCAGCGCCUCUGGUGUCCGUUUCUCCUGAAGCCCGCUGUUGACAUCGCGCUCCGCUCACAAAGGUUAAUGAGACCGGCCUGACGUUUUGUCUGUAUACGAUGCUUUAAACUCACUUGUGUUUCCUUUUUUUGUGCCUGUUCCAAAUGUUACCGAAUCAUUACAGCCCGUUAACAUCAAAGCCCCCCAACACACGUUCACAGUUAAUUAACAUCAAUGUUCCCUGAAGAAAUGCCAGGCAGCCUCGGCGCUGGCUGGACAAUAAGCACAUUAUCACCACGCUUGUAGAGGACGGGGAGACGCUGUGGUGGAGGAUGGCUUGCGCCGUCCCCGACCAAUUCUCCUUUUAUAACCUCUGUUUGUCUUUAAGACGAGUCCAAACCACCACAGCAGCUUCAAUGGAAGCGGGCGAGAGCUGCUGCCCAUGAAAUAUCGCUGUCAAAGACAAACUCUUUAGUGUCAACAGACAGCACUGCAAAAUACUCUCAUGAUGGGAAUACCAGCGCAGCUCGAGCUAAUAUUUUGGAUAAAAGUUUGGAACCAGAUGUCCAUGUGUUCAUUAGCCGCGGACACGGACUCCGAUUAAUGAGCGUGCUUGUGGUAUUAUCCGUGUCAGCCGACCCUGUUGCUCUGUUCAGGCUGCAAUAGCUUCUCAAUUAUUCAUGCUGCCCCGGCGCUCUACGGAGGAUGCUGUCACACAGCCACUAUGUGUCUUGAUCUAAUUAGCUGGAGGAAGAGAGAGAGAGAGAGCGGCAUAGAGGGAGAAAGGGGGGUGAAAGAAGGAAGGAAGGAAGGAAAUGUACAAAGGGAAGAAGCAGAAGUGUGCAAGAGGAGUUUUGCCUAGAAGCUUUGUAAACAACUCCUCAAACGGCGGUUGUUGUGGAGUUCUUCCUGAGUCGACGGAAGCGUCUCUGCGUGACUUCUGUGUUGUGUGUGUGUGUGUGUGUGUGUGUACACAAUCCGCUUCUGUCUCAUAAAUGGUGUCUCUGUCAAAUGAAUGAAAAUUCAUCAUUGUUAUAAAAGCACACUUUUGUCUCGAGAACUCUGUUUUUAACUGAUUAGCUGUGCAACUAUAAAAGUAAUUCAUUGAGACCCUUGUUAUUUUUUUGUACCAGAUAAUCUCAUGCUGUUCAUGACCCACUGUUUGGUUUUUAAUUAGCUGAUUUCCCCCCUUUUGAUUAGUACCAGCCUUCAUGCCCUUUCCGUUCCUUACUUUCCUUCAAUCACAACAUGCCGAUCAACUCGUGUUGUUUAGAGUCCAGUUGGACCUCUGUGGCUCUUUCCUGUGACGUUCUGUAGCCCGUUUACUCCUCAGCGACCCAAAAAUCAAUGGCGCUAAAUGACAUAACUGAAGAGCCACUGAAGGGGCGGUUGGAGGUGGACGGCAGGUUUGGUGGUACUGUGGCGCCGGCUGCUCUCACCCAGCGCUCCUACUGUGGCUGUGACAAAUACUGCUCUGUAGUCUGAAGGUAUCCGGAUGAUCCAUCGGAUCUGCUUCAUUGGAAAGCGGAAAAACACCGACUCACAGCGCUCACACGGCGCAGGUCAGAGUCGCGAUUGUUUUAAGCCGAACAGCGAUCUCUUUGUAAACCUAACUAAGUAGUUUUAUGACUAAAGUGUCCUGGGAAGACUGCAGUUCAUUUUGAAAAGACAAUAUGCAAGUAAUGGUUACUCUCUCUUAUAGGAAAACACAUGUGCUGAAAAUACUUUAUAUAAGGAGUUGACUCUGCAGUGACAUUUGCUUCACUUGGUAAAAUUGUCACCAUUCUACCUGAGAAACGUGUAACACAACUGUUAUUGUGUCAUUAGCACCUGCAGCCUUCUGUAGUUGGUGUGAAUUAAGCGACACUAUGACCCAACAUCGUCCUGACUCUGGAAGACACAAGUGACACAAAAUACUGUGUCACUAAUAAAAAUAAGGGGCAAUUAGUGUCUAGGGACUGCUGUAAAACAAAGGGAGGCUUGAAUAAAGACAAAAAGGGUUAUCAAAAUGCACAUGAGGUAUUGCAGCGGUUACACUCCAAAAACAAAGCUGUCCUUUUAUUCUUUCUUUUAAUUGAAAUCAGUCAUCAGUAGUGUUGCGAUCUCUGAAUUCUGCAUUUAUUUGUGUCCAACCAGGGCUGUAGUGGACAGCUGCAUUAGGCUCACUGAUUAUUCCUGUUCUAUUGUAUUCUAUCAUAAGCCGAGCCCCCGGCACCCUGCUGAUAAAUGAAGUGGCCAGUCAGGUUAUGCUAAUUGAUGUCUCCUCUUUUUGCUUCCUUCCUCUUUCCUCCAAAGUUCAAUUACACUCAUCGACGGCCAUCCAUCACGGGAAUGGAGCUGGCUGCGGGGCUAAAUUAAAUGUGCCAAUUUCAAUUAGCCAGCGUGAGGCAGUGCUGGGGGACAGAGGUGACUGUGGUGGAAAUUGGUUAGCCGGGGGGCCGGGAUUAGAAAAA
This is a long non-coding RNA of Gasterosteus aculeatus aculeatus (three-spined stickleback), 3745 nucleotides long. The record is from Ensembl. NCBI's taxonomy places the organism in Eukaryota, Metazoa, Chordata, Actinopteri, Perciformes, Gasterosteidae.